This 251-nucleotide ribosomal RNA is filed under the name uncultured bacterium. RNAcentral describes it as "partial 16S ribosomal RNA". It matches the Rfam family "Bacterial small subunit ribosomal RNA", at positions 103 to 354 of the family's 1533-position model. The record is from RNAcentral.
CGGGUGAGUAACGCGUGGAUAACCUGCCUUACACUGGGGGAUAACACUUAGAAAUAGGUGCUAAUACCGCAUAAGCGCACAGAGCCGCAUGGCUCAGUGUGAAAAACUCCGGUGGUGUAAGAUGGAUCCGCGUCUGAUUAGCUAGUUGGCGGGGUAGAAGCCCACCAAGGCGACGAUCAGUAGCCGGCCUGAGAGGGUGAACGGCCACAUUGGGACUGAGACACGGCCCAAACUCCUACGGAAGGCAGCAG